RNAcentral lists this long non-coding RNA (1713 nucleotides) under Sus scrofa (pig). RNAcentral describes it as "lncRNA (ENSSSCG00070025357.1)". Lineage: Eukaryota; Metazoa; Chordata; Mammalia; Artiodactyla; Suidae. The record is from RNAcentral.
CCUGUGCUUUACGGCUCAGUUUCAGACCCCAGGGAGCAGCUGACAUCUUGUGAAAAACUUAACAUUGCAUCCUUUCCGCGGGAAUUUAUCUCUGUUCUCACAAGGCGUUUCUACUUCCCACAAAGCAGGCCUGGCUUUUCAGAACACUCUGCUCGCCUCUCUACAGCUUCCUUCAAGGUCCAAAACCAGACUUUAAGGACAGAAAUCGAAACGGUCACGGACCUCCGGAGCGGCAGGUCCAGCUGGGGCCGGGGGCGGGUUCCUGGCGAGCCCACGGCCAGCUCGCGCCGCGCAGGGGAGGCCCGGCGCACUCCACCACGCUGGCCGAAGCAACCGGUUGCGGCGGCCGCUAGACGCUUCACCUCUGCGCCGUGGCCGCCUUGGCCCUGUGAAGUUCGGACCGCUGCGCGGGCGGCGCGCCCCCGAGUCCUGCUGCGGGUUCGCGUCCCGGCCCCGGAGCGAGCCCGGGGGGCGGGUCCGCGGGGGCUCGGCGGGCGGGAGCGUGGGACGCGCGGGGAGGGGCGCGCGGCGGGCCCAGCGCGCCAGGGAACUUGGGCGCCCCCGGUGCGGCCGACUGGCCACUUUCCUUUCACGCCCGGGGGCUGCCGUGCGCCCUGCUGCCGGCUUGAGACGGCCGGCCGCGUCUCGCUACCGCGGCGAGGCGCCCAGGCGCGCUCCUGCCUCCCGGCCGGCCAGCGCGCGGGGCCUCGGGGGCGCGCCAGGCCGCGCGCGGGCGUCGCGCUCCCCCCGCCCCGCCCCCGCCCCCAACGUGCCGCCGCCGCCCGUUGGCGCCUCAGCCCGCGCGCCCGCCGGCCGCCGGCUCCCGGCGGAUUUUCGUUGGCAAAGUUGCGCGGCCGCCUAGAAGGGGCCAGCAGGCAGUCCCCAGUCCCCGCGCCGCCGCCGCCCCUUCAGGCCGCCGCGCGGGAAGGCCCAGCCGGCAGCCCCGCUUUUUUACCUGCCGGGAGUUUUCGCGCGCUCGCUCUCUCAAUAGCUCGCUUUUCCCCUCUCGCGCUCGUUUUCUUUCUUUCUUUCCUUCUUUUCGUUCGCCCGCGCGGACGCUUUUUCCGUUCGCGCCGCCUGCGCUCGCCCGCUCGCGCCCUCCUUCCUGCUGGGCUCCGCGGAGCGGGGCGGCAGGCAGCUCUCCCCGCCCCCCUCCACCCGCGCUCCGGCGGAGGCGGCGGCCGCGGCGCUCCGCACUCCGACUCAUUCCAAUAUGGCACGGGCGCAGGGCGCAUGCGCCCGCGCCCCCCCCACCAUCCGCGCUCCUCCCGGCAGCCGGCGCCCCUCGCGCCGCGCGUGUGGCGCCCCCCGGCCCGGCCUCUCCAAGCCCUCCCGCGCGUCUGCCCGCCCCGCGGGACCUGUGCCGGAGGCGAGGCGACUGCAGACUUAAGUCCUGGGGGUCCAGAGCCACCCGCCGCCGCCGCCCGGCAUGCUCCAGCCCACAACUUGCCCUGGACACCCCCUGGGCCGUGGCACAGGGCACGCGGUGGCGCCUCCCGCCCCCGACGGCGCUACAGCCCGGCGCGUUGGGGCCCCGACGGAGAAACGCGCCUCCCAGGACCCAGCGCCCACGCUGCCCCUGCUCGGACCCACGAGGGAAGGGCCCCCUCACCUCACCUCGGGUUGGAUGGAACCCCGGGAACCAGGUGGCGUCCCGAUGUCGGUUUUGGCGUUCGGGCCGGGGCGAAGCGCGAUGCUGUCGUCCGCACGUGA